This 236-nucleotide ribosomal RNA is filed under the name uncultured Staphylococcus sp. Its description in RNAcentral is "partial 16S ribosomal RNA". It matches the Rfam family "Bacterial small subunit ribosomal RNA", at positions 104 to 334 of the family's 1533-position model. Lineage: Bacteria; Bacillati; Bacillota; Bacilli; Caryophanales; Staphylococcaceae. The record is from RNAcentral.
GGGUGAGUAACACGUGGAUAACCUACCUAUAAGACUGGGAUAACUUCGGGAAACCGGAGCUAAUACCGGAUAAUAUUUUGAACCGCAUGGUUCAAAAGUGAAAGACGGUCUUGCUGUCACUUAUAGAUGGAUCCGCGCUGCAUUAGCUAGUUGGUAAGGUAACGGCUUACCAAGGCAACGAUGCAUAGCCGACCUGAGAGGGUGAUCGGCCACACUGGAACUGAGACACGGUCAAG